UACAGAGGGUGCGAGCGUUGUUCGGAAUUAUUGGGCGUAAAGGGCGCGUAGGCGGUGCGGUAAGUCACCUGUGAAACCUCUGGGCUUAACUCAGAGCCUGCAGGCGAAACUACCGUGCUGGAGUGUGGGAGAGGUGCGUGGAAUUCCCGGUGUAGCGGUGAAAUGUGUAGAGAUCGGGAGGAACACCGGUGGCGAAGGCGGGUCUCUGGGCAUCUCCUGACGCUGAGGCGCGAAAGCGUGGGGAGCAAACGGG
This 253-nucleotide ribosomal RNA is filed under the name uncultured bacterium. RNAcentral describes it as "partial 16S ribosomal RNA". It matches the Rfam family "Bacterial small subunit ribosomal RNA", at positions 524 to 776 of the family's 1533-position model. The record is from RNAcentral.